Molecule: ribosomal RNA, 327 nt
Filed under: uncultured eukaryote
Lineage: Eukaryota
Description: partial 18S ribosomal RNA
Rfam family: Eukaryotic small subunit ribosomal RNA
Source: RNAcentral
CCCUUAGAUGUUCUGGGCUGCACGCGCGCUACACUGAUGCGCUCAACGAGUUUUAACCUUGCCUGGAAAGGUUGGGUAAUCUUUUUAAAACGCAUCGUGAUGGGGAUAGAUUAUUGCAAUUAUUAAUCUUCAACGAGGAAUUCCUAGUAAGCGCGAGUCAUCAGCUCGUGCUGAUUACGUCCCUGCCCUUUGUACACACCGCCCGUCGCUCCUACCGAUUGAAUGGUCCGGUGAAAUCUUCGGAUUGCUGACCAAGAUCCAGCAAUGGAGCUUGGUUGCGAGAAGUUGAUUAAACCUUAUUAUUUAGAGGAAGGAGAAGUCGUAACA